UGGCAAUGAGGAUAAUACUUUUCAUGAAUCAAAGUGAUUGGUUUAUACGCUAUUCUGAGCUUUUU
RNAcentral lists this small nucleolar RNA (65 nucleotides) under Xenopus laevis (African clawed frog). RNAcentral's name for it is "Small nucleolar RNA U54". It matches the Rfam family "Small nucleolar RNA U54". Lineage: Eukaryota; Metazoa; Chordata; Amphibia; Anura; Pipidae. The record is from Rfam by way of RNAcentral.